ACACAUGCAAGUCGAACGGCAGCGCGUCCUUCGGGAUGGCGGCGAGUGGCGAACGGGUGAGUAAUACAUCGGAACGUGCCCGAGAGUGGGGGAUAACGCAGCGAAAGCUGUGCUAAUACCGCAUACGAUCUCAGGAUGAAAGCAGGGGACCGCAAGGCCUUGCGCUCACGGAGCGGCCGAUGGCAGAUUAGGUAGUUGGUGGGAUAAAAGCUUACCAAGCCGACGAUCUUUAGCUGUUCUGAGAGGAAGAUCAGCCACACUGGGACUGGGACACGGCCCAGACUCCUACGGGAGGCAGCAGUGGGGAAUAUUGGACAAUGGGCGCAAGCCUGAUCCAGCCAUGCCGCGUGAGUGAUGAAGGCCUUAGGGUUGUAAAGCUCUUUUACCAGGGAAGAUAAUGACGGUACCUGGAGAAUAAGCCCCGGCUAACUUCGUGCCAGCAGCCGCGGUAAUACGAAGGGGGCUAGCGUUGCUCGGAAUCACUGGGCGUAAAGCGCACGUAGGUGGGUCGUUAAGUCGGGGGUGAAAUCCUGGAGCUCAACUCCAGAACUGCCUUCGAUACUGGCGAUCUUGGAGCCCGGGAGAGGUGAGUGGAACUGCGAGUGUAGAGGUGAAAUUCGUAGAUAUUCGCAAGAACACCAGUGGCGAAGGCGGCUCACUGGCCCGGUACUGACACUGAGGUGCGAAAGCGU
Molecule: ribosomal RNA, 692 nt
Filed under: uncultured bacterium
Lineage: Bacteria
Description: partial 16S rRNA
Rfam family: Bacterial small subunit ribosomal RNA
Source: RNAcentral